Molecule: long non-coding RNA, 584 nt
Filed under: Homo sapiens (human)
Lineage: Eukaryota; Metazoa; Chordata; Mammalia; Primates; Hominidae
Description: novel transcript
Source: RNAcentral
CUUUCACCUCCUUUCCCCCCUUUCUGCUCCUCCCUCUCUCUCUCAUUCCCUAGUCUUUUGCACCCUUUCUCUCUGCCUGCUAGUGGAGUCACCAUGACAACGGCCUCCAUGACAAUUACAGCCCAGGCAGCAGUGCCUCUUCCCAUGAGGCACUCCAAUACUCACUUGGAAUUUGCUCCCUGAUUUCAUGGCCCAGGCAGUGAAUUUGCCUCACUCCCCAAGUUUCCACAAGGCCACAGGGAAUAGACUUGGUAGCCAACCACAGCCCCGAAGAUGGGAGAAAGCAAAGAAGGAAGAAUGAAGCAUGGGAGAGAAUGAAAGAGGAGAGGGGGAACUGAAGCUCUCAUCUUCCUCUUCUCUGAUGGAACACAAAGGACUCCAGCAAAAACAUCUGCUAAGCACCUAAUAUAUACCAAGCUUCAAUCCUGGCUUUGGAUACACAUGGAUGGUUAAUGACUUUGGGAUCUCUUAAUUUAGGAGAACUAUUAUCUGGACUUCAUGAACAAAAUCACAGUACUUAAAAGUCACGAAUUAAUUAUCUUCAUCUCUGAUGCCCAGAUGGACAUUACAACUCUGAGUUAUGG